This 675-nucleotide ribosomal RNA is filed under the name Lentilactobacillus buchneri. Its description in RNAcentral is "bacterial SSU rRNA". It matches the Rfam family "Bacterial small subunit ribosomal RNA", at positions 66 to 711 of the family's 1533-position model. Lineage: Bacteria; Bacillati; Bacillota; Bacilli; Lactobacillales; Lactobacillaceae. The record is from RNAcentral.
AUGAUUUUAGGUGCUUGCACUUGAAAGAUUUAACAUUGAGACGAGUGGCGAACUGGUGAGUAACACGUGGGUAACCUGCCCUUGAAGUAGGGGAUAACACUUGGAAACAGGUGCUAAUACCGUAUAACAACCAAAACCACCUGGUUUUGGUUUAAAAGACGGCUUCGGCUGUCACUUUAGGAUGGACCCGCGGCGUAUUAGCUUGUUGGUAAGGUAACGGCCUACCAAGGCGAUGAUACGUAGCCGACCUGAGAGGGUAAUCGGCCACAUUGGGACUGAGACACGGCCCAAACUCCUACGGGAGGCAGCAGUAGGGAAUCUUCCACAAUGGACGAAAGUCUGAUGGAGCAACGCCGCGUGAGUGAUGAAGGGUUUCGGCUCGUAAAACUCUGUUGUUGGAGAAGAACAGGUGUCAGAGUAACUGUUGACAUCUUGACGGUAUCCAACCAGAAAGCCACGGCUAACUACGUGCCAGCAGCCGCGGUAAUACGUAGGUGGCAAGCGUUGUCCGGAUUUAUUGGGCGUAAAGCGAGCGCAGGCGGUUUUUUAGGUCUGAUGUGAAAGCCUUCGGCUUAACCGGAGAAGUGCAUCGGAAACCGGGAGACUUGAGUGCAGAAGAGGACAGUGGAACUCCAUGUGUAGCGGUGAAAUGCGUAGAUAUAUGGAAGAACACCA